Molecule: long non-coding RNA, 2870 nt
Organism: Siniperca chuatsi (mandarin fish)
Lineage: Eukaryota; Metazoa; Chordata; Actinopteri; Centrarchiformes; Sinipercidae
Exons: 2
Source: RefSeq, a predicted model, not a curated record
UCCUGUGCAGCAGCAUGGCCGCUCAACACUUCUCUUCCCUUCCUUUUUCUGAGCUCCAAGUCAAGUCAAGCUCCAGCUCCUUAUACCCUGCCGCUCCAAAUACAUUAUUUACACUCUCCUCCCCUCCCUUCAGCUCAGCUCAAAAGAAUCAGGGCAGAGGGAAAUAACACCACUGUAUAACCUCCCCCCUCUCCCCCAUGCACUGACACACACAUUGCACACACCAGCUCAAACCUCUCUCCACCAGCACCACCCCACCUGCUCGCUCUUUUCUCACUCUGCGGGAUGAAAAUACAGUGCAGGGCUGGGCUGCGACAAUGGGAAACUCUGUGAGGCCCCAGCCCUCCCAUUAAUCCCCUCUGACAUGCCUCCCGAGGGCAGGGAUUUGCUACAAGUCAAUGCAGGAGACCCACAAUAUGCAAAACAAGCCUGUCUGACUCUCAAUUUUCAAAGCCACUGCACUGCCUGUGAGACAGGAAGGCAGAUCAGAGAGAGAGGGGAAAAAAAUAACUGUGCUCGCAGUCUGCUUGGUUAACCCUUUCUUCACCCUCCUGCUCAGUGUACGUGUCACUUCCUUCUUCUAGUUUCAUUCCUAGCCUAGGUUGCACAGAUAAUGCUGUUGACAGAUGAGAACUGAUGCUGAAUGAUAUAUUUCCUCUCCCAUUCGGCUCUGCUGCUAUUGUCCUCUUUGUCUCCAUUCAUGACCAAUUCAGCUCAAAGCUGAACCAAAAUAUGAAAACACCCAAUGUAAACAGGAAUUCACAGGUCAUGUGAUGCACUUACUCUUUCUCUCUCUCUCUCUCUCUCUCAGGCAGAGUAGUGCUAUUGAAUGUAAAACUUUAUCAGGGAUCUAUAGAUGAGGAGAUAGGUGGAGGCUGGAGGCAGGGUGGGGGGCAGGAUGACAUUAGAGAGAGGUAGCCAGGGUGCUUAGGUGGGGGGGCUGUCCACACCCUGCAGCUCACACUCAUAAGGAAUGUAAACAACAGAGCUGAAUAGACAGGCUGGGAAUACGCAUGGAGGGAAGAAACCUGCAUGGAAGAAGGGCAGCAGAAGAAGUUAAAUUACCAUAGGGAGAGCAGCAGAGAAAUGGAAAAACAGAUGACAGUAAGGCAUUGCCCCACAGAGGAAGAGAAAUCCGCCAGGAUUUGUAGCCUGCUUUAGUUUCACGUGAUUGGCUCCACUGCUGCCUUCCCUCCGCUUCACACACACACACACACACACAUACACACCCCACACCACCCCUUUUUUUCUCCACCCAUCCUCAGACCCUUUGAGAUGGAAAAAUGGGUCAUCUGUGUGGAAGUUAAUACUCUGAGCACGUACAGUGCUGCUUUAUUUUAAGGACGUGCCUUGGAAAUUUUUCUUCUUCCCUGCCACACUGGUGAAUGACAGAGAAGACGCUGGGUAAUUAAUAUACUGUGUUGCUGCUGUGCACACAAGUGGCAGUGCAGGAGAGAGUCUUUAUUAUAGCUGCUGGCACAGCCUGGACACGUCUCAUAUUUCUCCCCAGCCUGCCCUCUCCAUGACAACGUACAGUAGGCUGCAGACUCUGGCACCACAGCCAUGACAUCAGCAACAGGGCACAGACAGUGUUACUCUGACCAUCUUCAGGCGGUGGGAAAACAUGUUCCAAAACACAGACGCAGGAGGACUCCAGGCCUCCGCGGACGCCUCCACCUAACAGUCAGUGAUCAGCAAAUACCUCCCUGGGAGGUUACUGCACUCAGACGAUCUCAAACGUAGACCGGUGCAGCAGAGAGUCUGCUGCUUUGCAGAGCUACGUGAAGCUGCCAUAGCAACCACAUACAACAGAGUUAUUUCUGGCUGCCUUAAACUCCAAAACACAGCUGCUCCUACAUAACCAGACAUCUCUACCGGACAGAUUAACAACGAGUCACUUCUUCUGCACACGCACUCAGGGCCAGAAGACUCGACAGGCCUCUUGACAGGCUUCUCCUUUUCCACCAAAUGGCAAAAUAGCAGGAGCGCUGGAGAAAAGACUGCAGAGUGAGCACGAGUUCAUGGAACACUGUCUACCAUUUAGUCUUCACUCGACAUUUCUGGGCCGCCGUUCAAUUUUCAUUCCUAAUGUAGAAAAACUAUUUUCCCCUGCUCUCGUUUCCUGGCUACCUCAAGGCCCGGGCUGCUCUGGCCAGAGCACUUAGAAAAACAGCUGCAGACAGGGAUAAAAAUAAUUACAGCUCUAUUUGUCUUCCAAGAGACACACUUUCAACCAGACCUACUCCCUUCCCCUACAAGCUGCUCCACUUUCACUCUCCUGCACACACAAUAAAGCCAUUCACAAUAAGGACACCAAGGCUCAAUGUACUGACACAAGCUCAUGUUUCACCAUGCUGGUUGGAAACAGAAAAACUGUACUCUCUAGAUGGCAAUUCAACUGUUCUGGCAGUGACUGUAUUUUAUUAACCAGUGCCAAGGAUUCAGUAACACACUGAAGGUAUUUUCCAUUUAAAUUUAGCAUAUCUACAUAGCCCCACAAGAUUACAUUACAUUACCUGUUCCUUAAUAUCUUUCUGGUACAAUUCCCCCUUCCUGUGGUGUUUUUUUUUUUAAAUCCUCAGGAAUAUUUAUCCUUGAUUUAUGCACAUAACACUUUCUCUUCAGCAAAUUGACUCUCCAGCUUUCCAAAUAUAAAAACUGUCCACACUCCAUAUUUCAAAUUUUCCUAUGCAUUGCUACUGCCAUCUACUGGCGAAUGGAAACUCAAACUCUAAAUGUGCUUUCAUUAUUUAUUUUAGGAUUUUACACACAAAAAUAUAUCCAGAUAUGAAAGACUGGAAUGUAAAAAUAACAUUUAAGUAACAUUGCAAAAGAAAUUUCAGAAAACUUGACAAUAUUCCACAAACAAG